RNAcentral lists this ribosomal RNA (269 nucleotides) under uncultured Rhodococcus sp. RNAcentral's name for it is "partial 16S ribosomal RNA". It matches the Rfam family "Bacterial small subunit ribosomal RNA", at positions 1114 to 1382 of the family's 1533-position model. Lineage: Bacteria; Bacillati; Actinomycetota; Actinomycetes; Mycobacteriales; Nocardiaceae. The record is from RNAcentral.
GUUGCCAGCACGUUAUGUGGGGACUCGUAAGAGACUGCCGGGGUCAACUCGGAGGAAGUGGGGACGACGUCAAGGUCAUCAUGCCCCUUAUGUCCAGGGCUUCACACAUGCUACAAUGGCCAGUACAGAGGGCUGCGAGACCGUGAGGUGGAGCGAAUCCCUUAAAGCUGGUCUCAGUUCGGAUCGGGGUCUGCAACUCGACCCCGUGAAGUCGGAGUCGCUAGUAAUCGCAGAUCAGCAACGCUGCGGUGAAUACGUUCCCGGGCCUU